Molecule: unclassified non-coding RNA, 378 nt
Filed under: plant metagenome
Description: partial contains 5.8S ribosomal RNA, internal transcribed spacer 2, and large subunit ribosomal RNA
Rfam family: 5.8S ribosomal RNA (bases 1-105)
Source: RNAcentral
GAAAUGCGAUAAGUAAUGUGAAUUGCAGAAUUCAGUGAAUCAUCGAAUCUUUGAACGCACCUUGCGCUCCUUGGUAUUCCUUGGAGCAUGCCUGUUUGAGUAUCAUGAAAUCUUCAAAGUAAAUCUUUUGUUAACUCAAUUGGUUUCUACUUUGGUAUUGGAGGUCUUUGCAGCUUCACACCUGCUCCUCUUUGUUCAUUAGCUGGAUCUCAGUGUUAUGCUUGGUUCCACUCGUCGUGAUAAGUUAUCUAUCGCUGAGGACACUGUAAAAGGUGGCCAAGGUAUAUGCAGAUUAACCGCUUCUAAUAGUCCAUUGACUUGGACAAUACUUUUAUGAUCUGAUCUCAAAUCAGGUAGGACUACCCGCUGAACUUAAGC